RNAcentral lists this unclassified non-coding RNA (210 nucleotides) under Hevea brasiliensis (rubber tree). Lineage: Eukaryota; Viridiplantae; Streptophyta; Magnoliopsida; Malpighiales; Euphorbiaceae. The record is from RNAcentral.
GAUAGCACAGGAAAAUUUUGGAAAAUUUGUAACGUUAUUAUCUAUAUCCACUUGUUCAGUUAUCUUAGCCAAGUGUAUAACCUGAGUAGGGGUACCCUUAGUAUUUAUGUCAACCCUACUAGUAUUAGGGGUAAAAUUAGAAUUUAAUAAUUUUUCUAAUUGAGAAGUCGACACGUCGUUGCAAUUUGUAGGAUGAAUUGAAAAGUUUUG